This 60-nucleotide microRNA precursor is filed under the name Eptatretus burgeri (inshore hagfish). Its description in RNAcentral is "Ebu-Mir-26-P6_pre stem-loop". The record is from RNAcentral. Lineage: Eukaryota; Metazoa; Chordata; Myxini; Myxiniformes; Myxinidae.
UUCAAGUAAUCCAGGAUAGGCUGUGUGUGUUCAACGGGCCUGUCCUCGAUUGCUUGCUUU